AAGAUUGAGGAGCACGAAGUGAGUAGUGUGGAAUGAGCAGUGAGGAAUUACCAGUCAGAACUUCUUUAAGUUUCGACGUCCGAUCAUCCAUCAUCGUCAGUUGGCGGUAUCAAGAUCGACAUAAGAGCACGGCUAAAGAAGGCUAGAGCUGCUAUUGCGAGUUUACGAAAUAUAUAUAGAGAUUCAAUCAGAUCAGUCAACGCACCAAAAGUCGAAUUUUAAUUUUCAACGUGAAAUCUGUACGUGGUGCUGGUGCAUAUCAGCAGAGACCAUACAGAAACUACAGGUUUUCACCAACCUUGUCGCCAACCAAUGUCAGCAGUUUAUAAUUCGGGCCGGGUGGCUUCGCAACAGGAUCUCGAAUACUGAGCUCCAUCGACGAUGCUAUUAAAAAUCCGAGAUCAACAGAAACUCGAGAAAGUAAAUGCAGGUGGGUCUGCAAGCAAGCGCUGGAUUGGAAUCCGGCAGGACAUCGCAGCAGAAGCAGACCUAAGAACUCGUGGCGAUGAAGCCACAUGAAAGAAAUCAAGUAAGUCGAUAGGAAUCUGCCCUGGGCCCCCAGUUCAAGUCCAAAGCGAAUAGGCACGCAGGAUGGCUAACUUUUACGUUCCCCUAUGCACCCCCAGAGGUGCUCAGGAUACAUGAGUAAGUGAAUGAGUGAGAACUGAGCAGUGUGGAGUGACGAGUGAGCAGUGAAAAGUAUGAAGUGGGUUGUGAGGAUUGAUUAGUGAUGAGUAAAGAUUCCAAAUUUCAGCGCCCCCUUUACUGGUACGCACUCACGGAUAUGACUUCAAUAUUGCGCCCUAUUUUGGAAUUAUUCCGGGAAAACCACUUCGUCAUUAUUAUUUCACGAAAUUGUUCUGUAAUUAUCGCGGAAGAGACAUUCUUGCUGGAUUUCCUUCCAUGAGUUAAGCAAGAAGUCAUCCUAAAAUUUCUAGAAAACUUUCCAGGAUUACCUCCAGGGGCACCACCAGCAAUUCCUUUGGGGAUUCUCUCAAAAUUAUACAAAAUAAUCUGGAAUGUUUACAGAAAGAAGACUAUUGCAUAAUUUCUUUAAAUGAUUCUAGCAAGAAUUCCUUUAAAGAAUUCUUCCAAUAUCCCUUCACAUCCCUAUCCAUGGAUUUCUUUGAAAUUUCCUCCAGGGGUUCCUUCAAAAGUUCUAUCAGGGAUUUUCGUUAGGACUGCUUCAGGAGUUUCUCAAGAAAUUUCUCGUGAGAUUCACCCCGAAACUUGUCAACCGGUAUCCUUAGAAAUUCCCUUCGAAUUUCCUUGCGGAAUUGCUCAAGGGAUUUCAUCGGAAAUUCUUUCAAGGAUUGCUACAUAAGUUCAUGCUUGUAUUCCUUGAUGAGUUUCUUCAAACAUUUCUAAAGCAAUUCCUCAAGGAAAUUGUCAGAUUUUUUCCCUUGAAUUUUUCUUAGGGAUUUCUCUGAAAAUUUGUCAAAACAUUUUUCAAGAAAUUCAUCUAGGAAACCGUUUCUAUUUAUCAAAACAUACAAUUCCAGGAGUUUUUUUAACAUAAUUUCUAGGUUCUUUCAGAAAUUCCUCUAGAAUUUCUUCGGGAAUUCAAAUUUCUUCCAGAAACUUUUCAGAAAUUAUUGCUUGAAUUUCUCCAGAGGUUCGUUCAGGUAUUGCUUCAUUUAUUCCGGGAUUUUUUCGAGAACUUAUUGGGAAUUUCCUUUUUGGAUUUAUUAAGAACUUCCCUCAGGAGUUCAGGACUUUUAAGGUUCCAAGUUUUUCUUAACAAUUACUGCAGAAAUUAUUCCAGAAUUUACUUCUUAGCAUUUUUCAUGGAAUUUUUCAAGAUUUUUUUCUACGAAUACUUUCAGAGGAAUCUCCAAUUCUUAAAGGUAUUAUUCAGUUGUCAGCUAGCUCUCGAUCGGUUCGGUUGCCUUUCCUAUCGACCUCGACGUUGUGCUAUUGUUAAAAGUCUAACAAUGGGCAUUCCUCGAAAAAACACGGUAGUCGUUGAUUUCAACGUGCUACCCAAACGUCCGAGCCCUGCAGAAGUGCAAAAAUUCAUCCGUGAAAAAUUGAAGCUGGAUAUUUCAACAGUGAGGAAUUCCACGGAGUCAUGUCAGGCGAUCCUGAGCGACCAUUUCAAAAAUAUCUGAAACUUUGCACAGUUUUUCAAUUUCAUCUAAAUCGUCAUUUUUCGAUAUCAAACCUUCAUAUUCACUCACGACUAACUUUUCAGAAGGGUGUAUGCUAAAACAGCUCAAAAAUAUUCUAAAAGCUGUACAGCAAAAACGGAUUUUUCGAUUGUUAUGAAUUUUUCAGCAAAGUUAGAUAACUAAAUGAUGAUUUCUUAGAAAAUAUACACUGUAAAAAAUUUAUUUUUUUACUUAAAAAAAAUAUGAUUUUUGUCACAAAAACUCAAAUAUCUCAAAACCCUAUCUUUUUACCAACGUUAAUUUUUUAGGGGAAAUGGCCCUUUAUAUCAGCUAUCUACCAUAAAAUUUUGGUGAUGGUAAACUGAUAAACAAAAAAGUUAUGACAUUUCAAAUAUUUCACAAUUUUUACAUUUAGUAACAAAAAAAAUUUUUUUUCUGUGUAAAUUAUUUUGAGAAUUAUUUUUUGAUGCUGAUUUUAUUGUAAAGGCUACCGCCUGAAUUAAACAAGUUGUUUUCAUGAUACUUUUGUUUGAUUAUUCAUAAUUUCUAUAGUAUCUAUUUGAAACUUAGACGCGAUCCAGUGUUUUGAUCAAAAAUAUUGAGAGUGUCAUACUUUUUAUUGUACGUGACUGGUGAAAAAAUCCCUUGAUAGUGUUGAAAAGCUGUUGAUUAUAAGAAAAAUGGAAUUAAACUUAUUUUUAAGACAAAAGCUGUAUAAUAAAAGUUUUAUAUACGCGUAUACGUCUAGUUUAUCUUCAAAAAAAUACCUCUUAGAGAACAGACUUUAUGAUCGGAAGAAUGCGAGUAACUUCAACAACAACAAAUGCAUGAGAGUUACCUACCACGUGAAAAUCCAUCGCCCAGUUCACACUACCCCCACCUGGUGGAAAUGUUUCACGAAAUACUGCGAUGUGCAAUAUCGUCAUCAGAAGGCGCUAGUGUGAAACGUCAAACGCAAAGAAAAAUGAUGGGCACUCUUCUGGUUAUGAAAGCCACAACCAAGAUUCAAAAUGAUCGUUAAAGGCGUGGUCAAUGAAAAUUUCGUCAGUGUUACGUUUGUUUGUCUGUAUACAUACCAUGACAAUGCUCACGAAAAAGCAAAAAAAAAAUACUACCGCUAUGGAUAUUAAAUAGUAAAUUUUUUCUUCAGCCAAGCAAACAACACCAAACUAGUCAGUUAAAACUAAUAAGUGAUUUUGUUUAUUAUAAUCUAACGAACAACAUGAACAGUCGCUUUCUCAAAGGUCUUCAACUCAACUCUCUCUUGUAGACCGUUUGAUGAAAAAAAAAUGAUCAAAGGAGUUACGAAAUCUCACCGAAAGCACCAUAGAUAAUCUGAAAGAGACUGGUUAUGCCCAAAUUGAAUCCAAAUUUACGCAUUUGCACGUCCUGCCGUCUAGACUUUGACAAACGAGCCAUCUGUAUAUCAUCGGUAAAGCAGGGCGUAGGAAGUUCGAAAACGACAACAACUGAGAAAUUGCCAGAAGUGCUAAGUGCAGAGAGUCAUGUCACCGUACCAUCAGCGACAUCAGUUUAAACAAUUAAUCACGCCCCUUUUCAAAAAUGCUUUGAUAUAUACUUCAACAUCUAUACCCAUUUCAAUAUUUUUAACGUUGCAAAACACGCUUUCAACAUUCAUUUUGAAGAAGAGGGAAAACACUUGUCCUCAAAUGUAACAGCAAAUAAUGAAUAAACGACUAAUGCGCGGAGGGCGUGAUAAAAUCGGAACAUUACUGUACAUAUAAUAUACAUAAUACAUAAUAAAAACAGCUUGUUUUACUCACGCAAGGCCAUUAACAAUAAAAUCAGCAUCAAGCUGCGAUUUCCGGCCGAAAUAAAGGCAGGAACAAAUCUCAUUUUCUUCUUUUGUCACAGCGCUCGUUGACUCGUUAAGGGGGAGGAUGAUAAAUAAUAAAUGUAUUCGAUGGAAAAAUAUCCAAACAAUUAGGCAACAUAGAUAAACUCAUCGGAUUUAUUAAGAAAGUUUCUGUGGAACUCGAAUUACACCUUAAAUUUGUUGAUUUUCUUGAACAUUUUAUUUGUGCCCCCCUCAAAAUGUUGAAUUCCGACCAAAAUUUUCCGAGGGGGCGGUGACAUAAGAGAAAAUCGAAAUUUGUAUUAGCCUAAUUUACACUAAAAAAAAUUAUUACUAAAUGUGAAAAUUGUGGAAUGUUUGAAUUGUCAUAACUUUUUUGUUUAUUAGUUUAUCAUCACCAAAUUUUUAUGGUAGAUUGCUAAUACAAUGGACCGUUUUCCCUAAAAAAAUUGCGUUGGUAAAAAGAUAGGGUUUUGAAAUAUUUGAGUUUUUGUGACAAAAAUGAUAUUUUUUAAUGUUAAAAAAGAUUUUUUUUCACAGUGUAUAUUUUCUUAGGAAUCACCAUUUAGUUAUCUAACUUUGCUGAACAAUAAAAUCAGCAUCAAACUGCGAUUUCUGACCGAAAUAAUUUACACAAAAAAAAAUAUUUACCAAAUGUGAAAAUUGUGAAAUGUUUGAAAUGUUAUAACUUUUUUGUUUAUUAGUUUACCAUCACCAAAUUUUUAUGGUAGAUUGCUAAUACAAUGGACCGUCUUCCCUAAAAAAAUUGCGUUGGUAAAAAGAUAGGGUUUUGAGAUAUUUGAGUUUUUGUGACAAAAAUGAUAUUUUUAAUGUUAAAAAAGAUGUUUUUUUCACAGUGUAUAUUUUCAUAGGAAUCACCAUUUAGUUAUCUAACUUUGCUGAAAAAUUCAUAGCAAUCGAACGAACCAUUUUGGCUGUACAGAUUUUUGAAUAUUAUUGAACCAUUUUCACAUACACCCUUUCGAAAAGUUAGUCGUGAUUCAAAAUAAAAAUUUGAUAUCGAAAAAUGGCGAUUUAGAUGGAACUGAAAAACUGUGCAAAGUUUCAGUUCAAUAGAAAAUCAUGAAUUAAAAAAUUUCCUUAAUUUUGAUGCUGUUGCUUGGAAUCGCUCUGUAAUUUCCGAAGAUUUAAGGCACGAUUCAAUAUCCGUAAACUUGUUCAUUGCCAAAAUGAUUAACUUUUUACGCGUUGAUAAACAUAAAGAAGUCAAAAAGAUAUAUUUUAUGUCUGAUGGAGCAGCGUCGCAGUACAAAAACCGUAAGAAUUUUUCGAGCCUAUGUCAAUUUAAAUCAAUGUACGGAAUUGAUGCAGAAUGGCAUUUUUUUGCUACGUCACAUGGCAAAGGUCCUUGUGAUGCUAUUGGAGGAACAAUAAAGCGCAUGGCCACAAGAGCAAGUUUAGCCAAAGAACGUGAGCAUCCUAUUAAAACUGCGAAAGAACUUUUUGAAUGGGCGAAUCGUAGAAAAGAAGAAGAUUUAACCAAAUUAUCAUUUUGUUUUACUACUACGGAAGAGUACGAAAUAAAGGCUUCAGAGCUCAGCGAGCAAUAUAAUAACGCGAAAACGAUCCAAGGAACCCAAAAAUUCCAUUGUUUCAUUCCAUUGUCAGAAAAUAAAAUUAAAGCAAAACUAUACUCAAACUGUUCUGACAAUAAUGCCAAAGUGUUCGAUAUUGUAAAAAAAUAAAUAAAAUCAAAUAAAAAAUAAGUAAAACUGUUUUCAUGAUCUCAUAACCCAUAAUAAAAUCCAAACCCAAAACUCUUAGCCCUCUCUUACCCCUAUUGUGUCAAAUCUAUGAUUAUUGUUGUGUAAUUUGAGAAUUCAUUUAUAUGUAUAAAUAUUAUAUGUAUAUAUAUUAUAUGUAUAUAUAUUACAUGUAUAUACAUAUAAUAUAAAUACAUAUAAUAUUUAUACAUAUAAUAUACAUAAUACAAAUGAAUACACAAAUAUUGAAUAUCGUAAAAACAACUUGUUUAACUCCCGCAAGACCCUUAACAAAAAAAACAGCACCAAACUGUGAUUCUCGAAAUAAUUUAGACGGUAAAAAAUUUUUUUCUACUAAAUGUAAAAAAUUGUGAAAUGUUUGAAAUGUCAUAACUUUUUUGUUUAUUAGUUUACCAUCACCAAAUUUUUGUGGUAGAUAGCUAAUAUAACGGACCAUUUUCCCUAGAAAAAUGACGUUGGUAAAAAGAUAGGGUUUUGAGAUAUUUAAGUUUUUGUGACAAAAAUUAUAUUUUUUAAUGCAAAAAAAAUAUUUUUUUUACAGUGUAUAUUUUUUUAGUAAUCACCAUUUAGUUAUCUAACUUUGCUGAAAAAAUCAUAACAAUCGAACGAACCGUUUUUGCUGUGCAGCUUUUUGAAUAUUUUUCAACCAUUUUCAUAUA
This is a long non-coding RNA of Aedes albopictus (Asian tiger mosquito), 6331 nucleotides long. RefSeq lists it as uncharacterized. The record is from RefSeq and is a predicted model, not a curated record. The transcript has 2 exons. Lineage: Eukaryota; Metazoa; Arthropoda; Insecta; Diptera; Culicidae.